CCUACGGGAGGCAGCAGUAGGGAAUCUUCCGCAAUGGACGAAAGUCUGACGGAGCAACGCCGCGUGAGUGAUGAAGGCUUUCGGGUCGUAAAACUUCUGUUGUUAGGGAAGAACCAGUACGAGAGUAACUGCUCGUACCUUGACGGUACCUAACCAGAAAGCCACGGCUAACUACGUGCCAGCAGCCGCGGUAAUACGUAGGUGGCAAGCGUUAUCCGGAAUUAUUGGGCGUAAAGCGCGCGCAGGCGGUUUCUUAAGUCUGAUGUGAAAGCCCACGGCUCAACCGUGGAGGGUCAUUGGAAACUGGGGAACUUGAGUGCAGAAGAGAAAAGCGGAAUUCCACGUGUAGCGGUGAAAUGCGUAGAGAUGUGGAGGAACACCAGUGGCGAAGGCGGCUUUUUGGUCUGUAACUGACGCUGAGGCGCGAAAGCGUGGGGAGCAAACAGGAUUAGAUACCCUGGUAGUCCACGCCGUAAACGAUGAGUGCUAAGUGUUAGAGGGUUUCCGCCCUUUAGUGCUGCAGCUAACGCAUUAAGCACUCCGCCUGGGGAGUACGGUCGCAAGACUGAAACUCAAAGGAAUUGACGG
RNAcentral lists this ribosomal RNA (588 nucleotides) under uncultured bacterium. RNAcentral's name for it is "bacterial SSU rRNA". It matches the Rfam family "Bacterial small subunit ribosomal RNA", at positions 338 to 916 of the family's 1533-position model. The record is from RNAcentral.